GGAGCUGUGGCUCAGGGGUGGAGCAUCUGCUUCGUGUGCAGAAGGUCCCGUGUUCAAUCCCCAGCAUUUCCA
This 72-nucleotide transfer RNA is filed under the name Sphaerodactylus townsendi. RNAcentral's name for it is "tRNA-Thr". It matches the Rfam family "tRNA". From Rfam's summary of the family: Transfer RNA (tRNA) molecules are approximately 80 nucleotides in length. The record is from RNAcentral. Lineage: Eukaryota; Metazoa; Chordata; Lepidosauria; Squamata; Sphaerodactylidae.